This 685-nucleotide ribosomal RNA is filed under the name uncultured euryarchaeote. Its description in RNAcentral is "bacterial SSU rRNA". It matches the Rfam family "Archaeal small subunit ribosomal RNA", at positions 83 to 779 of the family's 1478-position model. The record is from RNAcentral. Lineage: Archaea; Methanobacteriati; Methanobacteriota.
UUACGGCUCAGUAACACGUAGAUAAUCUGCCCUAUGGUGAGAAUAACGUCGGGAAACUGACACUAAUACUCAAUAUGAGAUGGUUUCUGGAAUGAGCUAUCUCUGAAGCAUAGGAUGAGUCUGCGGCUGAUUAGGCUGUUGGCGGGGUAAUGGCCCACCAAACCUUUGAUCAGUAAGGGCCCUUAGCGGGGAAACCCUGAGAACGAGUCUGAGACACUACUCGUAGCCCUACGGGGUGCAGCAGUUAGGGAUUUUUUGCAAUGCGCGUGAGCGUGACAGAGCGAGCCAGAGUGAUUUUCCAUACUGGAAAAUCUUUUGCCAGCUGUAAAAAGGCUGGCGAAUAAGGACUGGGCAAGACCGGUGCCAGCCGCCGCGGUAAUCCCGGCGGUCCGAGUCGCAACCACAAUUAUUGGGUCUAAAACAUCCGUAGCUUGUUCUGUAAGUCUGUUGUGAAAUUCUGUCUCUUAAGGGCAGAGAUUGCAAUGGAUACUGCAGGGCUUGAGACUGGGGGACGCGAUGAGUACAUUCGAGGUAGUGGUAAAAUACGUUAAUCUCGAGUGGACUAACACCAGCGAAGGCACGUCGCGAUAACAGUUCUGACAGUGAGGGAUGAAGGCUAGGGGCGCAAAUUGGAUUAGAUACCCAAGUAGUCCUAGCAGUAAACACUGCGCACUAAACCUUGUGA